Molecule: ribosomal RNA, 324 nt
Filed under: uncultured eukaryote
Lineage: Eukaryota
Description: partial 18S ribosomal RNA
Rfam family: Eukaryotic small subunit ribosomal RNA
Source: RNAcentral
CCCUUAGAUGUCCUGGGCUGCACGCGCGCUACACUGAUGUGUCCAGUAAGCACCUAACCUCUUCCGAAAGGACCGGGUAACCUUUGCAAAGCACAUCGUGAUGGGGAUAGAUUAUUGCAAUUAUUAGUCUUGAACGAGGAAUUCCUAGUAAGCACAAGUCAUCAGCUUGUGUUGAUUACGUCCCUGCCCUUUGUACACACCGCCCGUCGCUCCUACCGAUUGAAUGUUCCGGUGAGCUCUUCGGACUGCGCGGUCUGCAGUUUCUGCGUUCCGUGCGGAAAGUUGCGCAAACCUUAACAUUUAGAGGAAGGAGAAGUCGUAACA